GACAGAGGGUGCAAACGUUGUUCGGAAUUAUUGGGCGUAAAGAGCUCGUAGGCGGUGUGUCACGUCGGCCGUGAAAACCUGGGGCUUAACUCUGGGCGUGCGGUCGAUACGGGCAUCACUAGAGUUCGGCAGGGGAGACUGGAAUUCCUGGUGUAGCGGUGAAAUGCGCAGAUAUCAGGAGGAACACCGGUGGCGAAGGCGGGUCUCUGGGCCGAUACUGACGCUGAUAGCGCGAAAGCCAGGGGAGCAAACGGG
This 255-nucleotide ribosomal RNA is filed under the name uncultured bacterium. RNAcentral's name for it is "partial 16S ribosomal RNA". It matches the Rfam family "Bacterial small subunit ribosomal RNA", at positions 524 to 776 of the family's 1533-position model. The record is from RNAcentral.